This 257-nucleotide ribosomal RNA is filed under the name uncultured Basidiomycota. Its description in RNAcentral is "partial 18S ribosomal RNA". It matches the Rfam family "Eukaryotic small subunit ribosomal RNA", at positions 624 to 886 of the family's 1831-position model. The record is from RNAcentral. Lineage: Eukaryota; Fungi; Basidiomycota.
AAGCUCGUAGUUGAAUUUCGAAUGUGGCUGGGCGGUCCGCCUCACGGUGUGUACUGUCUGGCUGUGUUCUCUUCCUUGGUGAGCCGGCAUGCCCUUUACUGGGUGUGUUGGGGAACCAGGACGUUUACCUUGAGAAAAUUAGAGUGUUCAAAGCAGGCCUACGCCCGAAUACAUUAGCAUGGCAUAAUAAAAUAGGACGUGCGGUUCUAUUUUGUUGGUUUCUAGAGCCGCAGUAAUGAUUAAUAGGGAUAGUUGGG